GAGAGCAUAGCUCAGGUGGUAGAGCAACGCCCUUUUAAGGCGUGGGCCCUGGGUUCGAAUCCCAGUGCUCUCA
This 73-nucleotide transfer RNA is filed under the name Chthonomonas calidirosea. RNAcentral describes it as "tRNA-Lys". It matches the Rfam family "tRNA". From Rfam's summary of the family: Transfer RNA (tRNA) molecules are approximately 80 nucleotides in length. Their secondary structure includes four short double-helical elements and three loops (D, anti-codon, and T loops). Further hydrogen bonds mediate the characteristic L-shaped molecular structure. tRNAs have two regions of fundamental functional importance: the anti-codon, which is responsible for specific mRNA codon recognition, and the 3' end, to which the tRNAs corresponding amino acid is attached (by aminoacyl-tRNA synthetases). tRNAs cope with the degeneracy of the genetic code in two manners: having more than one tRNA (with a specific anti-codon) for a particular amino acid; and 'wobble' base-pairing, i.e. permitting non-standard base-pairing at the 3rd anti-codon position. Lineage: Bacteria; Bacillati; Armatimonadota; Chthonomonadia; Chthonomonadales; Chthonomonadaceae. RNAcentral also lists the same sequence under 1 other name. The record is from RNAcentral.